This 434-nucleotide ribosomal RNA is filed under the name uncultured Lachnospiraceae bacterium. RNAcentral describes it as "bacterial SSU rRNA". It matches the Rfam family "Bacterial small subunit ribosomal RNA", at positions 341 to 792 of the family's 1533-position model. Lineage: Bacteria; Bacillati; Bacillota; Clostridia; Lachnospirales; Lachnospiraceae. The record is from RNAcentral.
ACGGAAGGCAGCAGUGGGGAAUAUUGCACAAUGGGCGCAAGCCUGAUGCAGCGAUGCCGCGUGAGGGAAGAAGGUUUUCGGAUUGUAAACCUCUGUCAACAGGGACGAAGAAGACGGUACCUGUGAAGGAAGCUCCGGCUAACUACGUGCCAGCAGCCGCGGUAAUACGUAGGGGGCAAGCGUUAUCCGGAUUUACUGGGUGUAAAGGGAGCGUAGACGGUUCUGCAAGUCUGAUGUGAAAGGCAGGGGCUCAACUCCUGGACUGCAUUGGAAACUGUAGAACUAGAGUGCCGGAGAGGUAAGCGGAAUUCCUAGUGUAGCGGUGAGAUGCGUAGAUAUUAGGAGGAACACCAGUGGCGAAGGCGGCUUACUGGACGGUAACUGACGUUGAGGCUCGAAAGCGUGGGGAGCAAACAGGAUUAGAUACCCUGGUA